RNAcentral lists this ribosomal RNA (208 nucleotides) under Clostridioides difficile. RNAcentral's name for it is "partial 23S ribosomal RNA". It matches the Rfam family "Bacterial large subunit ribosomal RNA", at positions 1336 to 1540 of the family's 2925-position model. The record is from RNAcentral. Lineage: Bacteria; Bacillati; Bacillota; Clostridia; Peptostreptococcales; Peptostreptococcaceae.
GCCGUAAACCCAAGGUUUCCAGGGGAAGGUUCGUCCGCCCUGGGUUAGUCGGGACCUAAGCUGAGGCCGAAAGGCGUAGGUGAUGGACAACAGGUUGAUAUUCCUGUACUACCGAUAACCGUUUGAGGGAUGGGAUGACACAGUAGGAUAAGCUAAGCACACUGUUGGUUAUGUGUGCCCAAGCAUUGAGGCAGUCAGAGUAGGUAAA